Long non-coding RNA from Ictalurus punctatus (channel catfish), 1548 nucleotides. Lineage: Eukaryota; Metazoa; Chordata; Actinopteri; Siluriformes; Ictaluridae. The record is from Ensembl.
GCUUUGCGUAAUCUACGAACGGAGCUAGUACGAAGCCUUGCAUGUAACGUAAAUAAACUUCAACACAUUCGAAACAGAAGUGAUGUGUAUACAUCGUAUAUUGGGCUGUACAUUUUGGCUGGUUCUAAUCAGGUAGCAACAGUAGAAAUCACUGUACACCAAUAAGAGUGAAGUAUGAGUCAGCAUAGUACAGAGUAGCAUCACCGCAAAUCAAUACAAAGUGCUUCUGACUGAUGGUUUUCAUCCUCUGAUGAAGCAGAUCCAUCCUGCUAGACACGGUCUCUUCCAGGAUGACUCCACCCCCAUCCACAGGGCCCGAGCUCUCAUUAAAUGAUUUGAUGAGAAUGAAAAUGACGUCAAUUAUAUGCUAUGGCCUUCACGCCCACCGGGUCUCAACACAAAGGAAUGCCUAUUGAUUUCGGAUGUUAGACGGGGAGAGUGCUCACCAGUAUUUACAUUUUUGGCAUUACUCAUGACAUCAGUGAGUAAGAAUGCCUUUAGUCAGCCAGUGACUCAGCUGUUCAGACAGCCUAGGGAAGUUCAUUCCACCACAUAGGUGCCAGACAAAGAAGACCCUUGAUACAUGACUUUCCUCUACCCUGAGAGAUGGUGGGUCCAAUGGAGCAGUGCUAGAGGCUCCAGAGUGGAGUAUGAGGUCUGAUGCUGUGCCGAGACAGACAUGCCAGGAGCAAGUUGCAGUAGUGCAGUCUCAAAAUAACAAGGUAAGGAACAGGCGCCCGAGUGGCCUCUGCGGAUAGAAACGGCUGGAUCUUCCUAAUGUUGUAGAGGAGAAACCUGCAUGAUCGAGUCAGUUUAGCGAUGUGAGGCGAGAAGGACCGAGAGACUGUAGAAGGUGGUGAGAUUGGAGGACAAGAUAAUCUGCAGGGAGAAUCCUGAACAUGUUCUGUAGGAAGAGGGGCCGAAGUACAGGACUGGCAGAUCUUCUCGUCGAAGGAUGUGGCAAAGCCAUCAGCAGUCCGAGAGGACGGGGAAGGAAGUGCCGGAAGGCUAAGAAGUGAAGAAACGUAGAAAUGUGGAGAUCAUGUGCAGAGGCAGCCGGCGUUCCCUUGUAGAAGGUCUUUGCAGCUGUCACAUCAAAUGAGAACUUGGACAGGAGAGAGCAGCAUCACGGGAGAUCAGUAUCAAGCUGUGAUUUUCCUCCACUUUCUCUCAGCUGCUCUUAAUUCUCUCCGACAGUCUAGGAGCAGGACGAGCCCACCAUCAAAACACCAACUGAGGAAAUACAGUCAGGUCCGUAAGUAUUUGGAAAGUGGCGCAGUUUUCAUAAUUCUGCCUCUGUACCCCAUCACAAUGGAUUUGAAACAAAGCAAUCAAGACGUGAUGGAGUCUAUAUUUUGAGAUUUCAUUCAAGGGGUUUAACAAAAAAUAUUGCAUUAACUGUUUAGGAAUUACAGCCGUUUUAUUUAUUUAUUUAUUUUUAAAAAAAUUUUACAGAGUCCCAACAUUUUCAAAGGCUCAAAAGUAAUUGGACAAACGAACAAUCAUAAAUAUUAGGAUUCUUUUUUAAUACUUGGAGGCAAAUCGUCU